RNAcentral lists this unclassified non-coding RNA (917 nucleotides) under Leishmania donovani. RNAcentral describes it as "gene:unknown". The record is from RNAcentral. Lineage: Eukaryota; Euglenozoa; Kinetoplastea; Trypanosomatida; Trypanosomatidae.
CAACCAUAUACCAGUGUCGUGCAUUCAUCUUCACACUCACUGGCCGUUUUUCCGCAUUCGAUCCUUUACCGAAAACACCAUCAGUCUUUUCUUGUCUUUUCUUCUGCGUCGCGCCUCUUCCGCUGAGAAAAGUAGAGGAGGUCCUAUUUUCUUGGGUAACCCUCCUCCCCCCUUUUCCACCUUUAAAACAACGGCAGCACCAGCGUCUAUACAUGUAUAGUUUUUAUUUAUUUUUUUACCGUGCCAUUCUGCCGCGAGCAAGUGACAAAAAUAGACGCAUACAACCACAGCUCACCCGUCUCCGUAGGGGGGGGGGGUUACAGCUGCAUCCUGGGCGUCUAGGACGAGCCGCCUGCCUUCGCAUCGGGCCAUACGCCGCACGGGCACUUCCUGUCCUUGCUCGUCCCUUCCUCGGGUGCGUGCUGCGCGGCGGGCGUCCCACGGACAUGGGUGAGCUGCAUGGCCUGAUCCAACGCGGGGCCGCGCCCAUGCUCCUGCUCGAGGGCGGAGGCGGUGGCGUCUGUCGUGCGGGUAAUAGGGGAGUGGUCAAGGUGACAUGCCGGAUGAGCUCGAGGAGGACGUUGGCCAGCCUCAGGUCAGGGCCCUCGGUGGCCCUGCGCACCCCCUGCCUGCGUGCCAUGCUUCGCCCUCGGUCGCUUCACGCCGCGGCAUCCCAUAAUAUGGAGACCCUCCGCAUGGGGAGUCGGGAGGGCCCGGAUGGUGCAGCUCGGGCUGCUCUCGUGAUGCUUCCGGCAUCUGUGCCUCAUCAGUGCAGCCCUGGACAGAUGCCGAAGAUGCCGCAUGCUAUGCACACAUGCGCUGUGGGGCUCACUGCUAUGGGACUUCUUCGCGCCCCUUCCGUCCAUCACUCUUGCUCUCUCACCUCUGCACUCUUUCUUUCGAUGUGGCGCACCAAG